Molecule: ribosomal RNA, 492 nt
Filed under: uncultured bacterium
Lineage: Bacteria
Description: partial 16S ribosomal RNA
Rfam family: Bacterial small subunit ribosomal RNA
Source: RNAcentral
AGUGAACGCUGGCGGCAGGCCUAACACAUGCAAGUCGAACGGCAGCACAGUAAGAGCUUGCUCUUACGGGUGGCGAGUGGCGGACGGGUGAGGAAUACAUCGGAAUCUACUUUUUCGUGGGGGAUAACGUAGGGAAACUUACGCUAAUACCGCAUACGACCUACGGGUGAAAGCAGGGGGUCUUCGGACCUUGCGCGAUUGAAUGAGCCGAUGUCGGAUUAGCUAGUUGGCGGGGUAAAGGCCCACCAAGGCGACGAUCCGUAGCUGGUCUGAGAGGAUGAUCAGCCACACUGGAACUGAGACACGGUCCAGACUCCUACGGGAGGCAGCAGUGGGGAAUAUUGGACAAUGGGCGCAAGCCUGAUCCAGCCAUACCGCGUGGGUGAAGAAGGCCUUCGGGUUGUAAAGCCCUUUUGUUGGGAAAGAAAAGCAGCAGGUUAAUACCCCGCUGUUCUGACGGUACCCAAAGAAUAAGCACCGGCUAACUUCGUG